Molecule: non-coding RNA, 192 nt
Organism: Phoenix dactylifera (date palm)
Lineage: Eukaryota; Viridiplantae; Streptophyta; Magnoliopsida; Arecales; Arecaceae
Source: RefSeq, a predicted model, not a curated record
AUCAUAAUGUUUUCUUUAGAUUUUUAAUUUGUAUUUUUUUGAAGGUGGGAUCAAAAGCUGGCAGAAAGAAUAGGAAAAAGCUUGAGUACAAUCAUUGUUCAGGAUCUCGGUCAUUUGUUGCAACAAUGACUAUACCGAAUUCUAUAAGAAAACUCAUACCAAGAAGAACAAAGAGUGGAUUGAUCCUAUUUG